This 75-nucleotide transfer RNA is filed under the name Pseudomonadota bacterium. RNAcentral describes it as "tRNA-Val". It matches the Rfam family "tRNA". From Rfam's summary of the family: Transfer RNA (tRNA) molecules are approximately 80 nucleotides in length. Lineage: Bacteria; Pseudomonadati; Pseudomonadota. RNAcentral also lists the same sequence under 1 other name. The record is from RNAcentral.
AGGCCGGUAACUCAGCGGGAGAGUGCCAUCCUCACACGGUGGAAGUCAAGGGUUCAAAUCCCUUCCGGCCUACCA